CUCACUAUAGUUUAUUUAAAACAUUGACCUGCAAAAUCGAAAAAGGAAAAAUAUCCUGGUGUGU
Molecule: transfer RNA, 64 nt
Filed under: Toxicochlespira sp. MNHN IM 2013-9841
Lineage: Eukaryota; Metazoa; Mollusca; Gastropoda; Neogastropoda; Conidae
Description: tRNA-Cys
Source: RNAcentral